UAGACUGUUUGAGGUAAUCCUCGACACCCUUGAUGAUGUUGAGAUCAGCGCUCUGUGGAGGCCAUAACAUAUCCUGCAGAACUCCUUGCUCUUCUUUUUGCUGUGAAUCACUUGGCUCUAUUUCUACUUCAGAGGAAUGGCUUUUUGGCAGCAACUCUUCCAUGAAGAGCACUUCUUACAAGACCUCUCCGGACUGUAGAGGGGUGUACUUUGGUUUCAGUGGUUUUUGUGAGUUCAGUGCUGACUUAGUCAUAGUCAUAGUCAUACUUAUACUUUAUUGAUGUCACAUUGAUGUGUCUUUCAUCUGUUGCACUCAGUUUCCGUGGCCAACCACUAUGUUUCUGGUCUUCAACCUUGCCUGUUUGUGCUUCUUCAGAGCAGUUUGGACAGCACAUCUCAGAGCUACUGUCUGGCAUAAAAUUUCUGCUUGCUGAUGCAGGAUGACCACCUUGUGUCUUGCUGCUACGCUCAACCCUUGCCAUGGGUAAGAAUUGAUGAUUUGAAGGUUAAAACUGUCACACCUGCCCCAUCCUUAUCUUUUAGUUUGGUUGCCUUUCGCCCAGAUUGAUUCCUUCUACACCUGUUUCAGUGAAUUGGUUUAGUUCAUUCAAAUUAUUAUGUCAUUGAUCAUCAGCAGCAGUUUGUUAUAUUUGUUUAAUCACGCAUUGGGCUAUAUACCUACAAAGUAAUCAAGUUUCUACUUGAAAAGUGGUCUAUUGCUUCAUAAAUUACUUUCUUUAACAAAACAAAAAAUCCUCUGUAACAUUUAUUUUUUGGAAAAUCAAUGCUUGGAAUUCUAAAAUUCGCUCUUUUCUACUAACACACUAAUAUAGAAGACACCUAAAACAAAAUUUAUAUGAAAAAUCUAGGGCAUUUGUCUUUUGUAUGUAACGCCUUGAUUAAGAUUUUUACUGCUAUGCUGUAGGUAUUUCUUUUUAGCAGUUCUAUAAGAGCAGUCUGUUCUGCUUUCAGCUUGUUUUGGGUUUGAGCUGAGAUAAGAGGCUUGUUGUUCAACUUAGGAAUGUAGUGUCAGCCAAUCAGGAUGGUAAAAUUAGGAGAAGGUUCUAGAGAAUGCUGGGAGGAAGAGGUCUUCAUUGGCAGGAGCCGGGAGAAGACAGGAAGGAAGAUGGUGGAGGAUGCCAUCCCUGUUGCACAAGGUGCUUUGUGCAGAUGUACGGCUUCGAGGAGGAAGGACCAAUACACCCAUGGGAGAGCCCGUUUGUUCAAGAUAGAUUUUGAGCAACCUUCAGAAAGUGGUGUGUGCUUUCACGCAGACUGAGGGUCCAGCGUAUGUGUAACAGACAAGUUCAAGAUUUGAGCUCCACCAUGUGGCUGUUUAAGUAUAAUGAGCCCUUCUUGUUUUUUUCUUUCUUUCCUUUAGUAGCUGUUUGCUUAAGUCAGCAUUCUUAAAUAUAUUUCUGAUUAAUUGUACGCAGUGGUUGAACUGCUAUUUCUUGCCGACAGGCGAUUUCCGGGGGUGGUAAAUCACACAGCAUUCACACAAACCAGGGUUUUGGUGGGUGAGACAUCCCAACCUCAUGGAUUUGGCGGGACCAGCCUAGACGUAAGUCGUCGGAGAAAUGUGGGUUUCUUGUUGCGGAGUUCAGUGGCUGUUAGCAAGGAGCUAAUGAGCCACAUUUCCAGAGACUCCCAGUAAAAAAGGGGUUUCAUGUACAAUACUGUAUAUUCCAAAGCUUUUACAGAUUAUUUCAUUAUUAUUUCUCUCCCUAACUGACCUAUCAAUGUACAAACCAGACAGCUCCAGUAAAUGUCACCUGGAUAAUCCUGGCUUCAACUUAUCAGAUAUUUCCUUUGCCCUGUCAAUCCCUUACCCACCAUUUAAAAUAAUUUUUUUUUUUAAUUUCCCAAAUCAUGAAGGAUCUUUAAUCUCUUUCUACUUCCACAUAUGCUGCAUGAACUGCUACAUACAGUAUUUCUAGUGUUUUUUUAAAAAUAAAUUACAUUUCCGAGCAGUUUGACUUUCCAACAUGCUUUCGCUUCCAUUUUCCCAAAAAUUGUUUCUCUGUCCUUUAAAGGCUUCAUUAUCCAUUUGCCUUUACUAAUUUUCUAUUUCAACUGAGGAAUGAAAGAAGUUUACUUAUUAAUGUCAUAACAUGAUUCAGCCCUGUAAGAAAGACAUCUGUAAUAAAAGGUAAAAAAUAUUUCAUGUAUCAGAAAUUCUCAAAGCUGCCUGCCCAGGUUCUAGAUAGAUAUACAAGGAAAGAACAGGAGAAAAGGGAAAUUGUGCCAAUCUGUAGUGUAAAUAUUCCUACUUUCAUAAUAAACAGGGG
Mobula hypostoma (lesser devil ray) is the source of this 2291-nucleotide long non-coding RNA. RefSeq lists it as uncharacterized. The transcript is spliced from 3 exons. Lineage: Eukaryota; Metazoa; Chordata; Chondrichthyes; Myliobatiformes; Myliobatidae. The record is from RefSeq and is a predicted model, not a curated record.